GAUGAACGCUGGCGGCGUGCCUAAUACAUGCAAGUCGAGCGAACAGACGAUGAGCUUGCUCCUCUUACGUUAGCGGCUGACGGGUGAGUAACACGUGUAUAACCUACCUAUAAUACUGGGAUAACUUCGGGAAACCGGAUCUUAUACCGGAUAAUAUAUUGAACCGCAUGGUUCAUUAUUGAAAGACGGUUUUGCUGUCACUUAUAGAUGGUUCCCCGCGGCAUUAUCUAGUUGGUAAGGUAACGGCUUACCAAGGCAACGAUGCGUAGCCGACCUGAGAGGGGGAGCGGACAAACGGGAAGUGAGACACGGACAAGAGGACUAAGGGAGGCAGCAGAAGGGAAUGUUCCGCAAUGGGGGAAAGCUUGACGGAGAAAGGCGGAGUGAGUGAUGAAGGUCUAGGGAUCGUAAAACUCUGUUAUUAGGGAAGAACAAAUGUGUAAGUAAAUAUGCACGUAGUGACGGUAACUAAUAAGAAAGCAACGGCUAACUACGUG
This 497-nucleotide ribosomal RNA is filed under the name uncultured bacterium. RNAcentral's name for it is "partial 16S ribosomal RNA". It matches the Rfam family "Bacterial small subunit ribosomal RNA", at positions 28 to 507 of the family's 1533-position model. The record is from RNAcentral.